This 449-nucleotide unclassified non-coding RNA is filed under the name Hevea brasiliensis (rubber tree). Lineage: Eukaryota; Viridiplantae; Streptophyta; Magnoliopsida; Malpighiales; Euphorbiaceae. The record is from RNAcentral.
CUGAUUUGUUGUGUGGGAGCUCUGUGAGGAAAGCGGGGUAGCAGCCGAUUGGCGCAAGGUUGAACACCAUGAAUGUCCGUCCUCCAAUCUCAUACAAUUCCUCGAUGGUCGAUGCAAUCUGAGAUACGACUUGUGGGAGCUGCUUCUUGACUUCGUCGAUACCGGUAGUCGCCAAGUUGGAGGUGAAGUCGUUCUGGCCGAUGUAGAAGGUGUAGAGGGAUCUUUCAAAGAUUUUUGUAGUGGGGACUUGUCCUGGCUGGCUCAGCACAAGGGCUCUGGCAUAGAGCUCUUUUAUCUGGUUGAGCUGAAUUCCCAACGAGAAAGGGCUGAUCCCAGUCACGAAGAGGGAGGUUUUGGGCAAUAACACCGUCGAGGCCAGCGUCGCAAAGUUAGCCCCGUGCCUGAAAUUCGCGCCAACAGACUGAAGGUAUGGGCUCAAAAAUGGCAAU